RNAcentral lists this long non-coding RNA (1339 nucleotides) under Cricetulus griseus (Chinese hamster). Its description in RNAcentral is "lncRNA (ENSCGRG00015043109.1)". Lineage: Eukaryota; Metazoa; Chordata; Mammalia; Rodentia; Cricetidae. The record is from RNAcentral.
AAAGAAAGAAAGAAAGAAAGAAAGAAAGAAAGAAAGAAAGAAAGAGAAAGAAAGAAAGAAAGAAAGAAAGAAAGAAAGAAAGAAAGAAAGAAAGAAAGGAAAAAGAAAAAAAUCCACCACCACCCCCAAAGGAGCCACAUGAGGCCCUACGACGGCAGGGAUUUUGACUUCUUUCAAAACUGGACCCAGAGGUCACUUGAAUACCAGUUUGCUGUUUAUGUUUUGCCAAUUUAACCUCUUCGCUGGUAGAACAUCUCUGGGUGAACUGCAGAUGUGGAACUGGGAGGAAAACGUCCUGGAAUCCAGUGUGCUUUUCCAACUCCUCUCUAAGCUGGUUGACGAUUUUACCGUUUAAAGGGGUGAAGUGGUUGAAUUUAUCUUUUCAGAGCUCCAUUCUGCCUAGAUUUUGCCACUUUAGGCUGUCCUCUUCCCACUCCUGACCGUCACUCUCCACCCCCGCCCCCGCAGCUGGGACGCAUAUGCUGGUGUGGCGGAUAGUUUCCUGUGGAAGCCAGCAUGGGUAGUGGGUAGGUGGGUACACAGGGAGCAUUGCUGGGUGGCAACCAGGAGCAUGAGCACAGUGCAGCAGCCCAUGGAAGCUGCAACAGCAGACAUGGGAAGCACCUUUUUUUUUUUUUUUUUUUUUUUUUUGGCCUUGAGCCCAGCCCAAGUAUUAAACAAAAUAAUGUAAUCACAAUGCCAAAGGACACGGUGACGUCCCUUCCACUGUAGUUGCUGUCACCUUGAUGUUAAGCUCAUGGCCAUUCACGUCUGUGUCUUGAAAUGGAUCCUGGUGUACUUGUUUCCUACUGUCACUUCUGGGGCUAAGUCACAGGAUCCUGCAAAUGAGGUGUCCGCUGUCCCCAAUUUACUGUACCAGGCAAAAAGAACACUGCUUUGUUUUCCUGUGUUGUAGAGAAACUAGGGAGAACUUUAUUUUUCAAUAAACUUUUCUUGUGCGACAGGUGGUAGUGAUUUGGGGGUGGGUCCUAAAGCUACAUUUCAUGGUGCCAACACACUGUCAAAGUUAUGUUCAAGCAGCAUCUGGGCGGGUACUGGGGAAUAAGAUAGCUGAGUUUAUAACAGACAGUUGAGUUCAUAGAGUGCUUGCUAUGCAAGUGUGAGAGCCAGGCCCCAACCCUCAUCCGCUUUUUAAAAUGGCAGAUGUGAUGGCACAUGCUUGAAACCCCAGUUCUAGAGAGGAGCCAACAUGGUUGGCAUUCGUAGAAAACUUGUGACUCGGGCCGGGCGUUGGUGGUGCACGCCUUUAAUUUCAGCACUCGGGAGGCAGAGGCAGGUGGAUCUCUGUGAGUUCGAGACCAGCCUGGUCUCCAAAGCU